AUUCAAUCGAGACUGUCGCAUUACUAACACCUCCUGUUUUGAAGACAGUAUUCCUUCAACUGUCCUCUCUGCAGAGAAGAAAAAGUAAAAGCCCUUCUUUUACUUUUCUAGUCCCAUCCGAAGCACGUGAACAUCUACGGAACCUUCCCUGCAGGUAUGUCAGAUAAAAUCCUUAGAAUCACUGAGAAAGCACAUUCGGAGGGAAGCUUCACAGUGACUCUGCAGUGAGGGCCGUAUCAGUGACAGUCCCUCCCAAGCCUGUCUCACCGGAGACGCCUCUGCCUCCAGGGUUUUUGCUACCUCCCCGCUCCUCAGCCCUGAGCUGAGGGUAAGGACAGUGAGGACCUUUGCCAAAGAAUGGGCUUUAAGGAAUGGGACCUAAUGUCUACUGCAGACCCUGUGAAAUGGCUGAAACAAUCUGCUACCCGAAGCCCCAAAGGCUCUGAUUACCGGUCGCCGCUCACCUGCUGGGGCGCGAGGUGCAGAGACUGUACCGACCGAGGACCCAGAGGCUGUCACCACGGAGGGGAAGUCCUCAGCUGCACAGGUUGGGGGGGGGGGGGGGGGCGGGCCCAACCAGUCACAUGACGUCGAGCUCCGCCCUGCCUCCUCCAUCCCAGCGCUCUACAUCUCGGGGGGCCUGAAUUUUUACGGAUCCCUUGAAUAUUAAUUUUCUUGGAUUAAAGAAAUAAAAGAUAAAUUUUCA
RNAcentral lists this long non-coding RNA (706 nucleotides) under Homo sapiens (human). RNAcentral describes it as "HSALNT0313865". Lineage: Eukaryota; Metazoa; Chordata; Mammalia; Primates; Hominidae. The record is from RNAcentral.